RNAcentral lists this ribosomal RNA (468 nucleotides) under uncultured bacterium. Its description in RNAcentral is "partial 16S ribosomal RNA". It matches the Rfam family "Bacterial small subunit ribosomal RNA", at positions 28 to 507 of the family's 1533-position model. The record is from RNAcentral.
GACGAACGCUGGCGGCGUGCUUAACACAUGCAAGUCGAGCGGACAGACCAUGCGUUUGUGCGGUGCUCGUUUGGCGCGCGCGUGAGUAACACAUGAGUAAACUCCCCUUGUCUUACGGAUAAAUUCAGGGAACUGGGGCUCUUACAGGGUAGGAUAUCCUGAUGCAUGGUGUUGGUUGGUGAGAUUCGGCGGUUGUGGCUAGUAUGGCGGGUUAUGAGCUGGUUGGUGUGGUAGUUGCUUACCAAGGCUGCGACGGGUAGCCGGCCUUAGAGGGGGGACGGGCACAAUGGGCCUGAGGUACGGCGCAGACUGCUAUGUGCGGCAGCAGUGGAGAAUAUUGCACAAUGGGCGGAAGCGUGAUGCAGAAAUGCCGCGUGCGUGAUGACGUCUUUCGGGGUGUAAACCGCUUUCGCAUGUGACGAAGCGUGAGUGACGGUAACUGGUAAAGAAGCAACGGCUAACUACGUG